GACCCGGCAGCUUUCUCUGCAGCCUGCUCUCCCAAACCAGCUCUCCCCAGAACAAAAACCACCCUGUUAAGCACCAGAAAGAGCCAGAAAAACACGCCUCCGGACAAAGCGAGACUAUUCAGCGAUCCCAGAGCUGUCUCUUCCCACCCUUGGGCUCAUUGACCCAACAGCUCACGCAGAGUCUGGAAGGAAGGACGGUCUGCGGAAGGAGGAAGAUUGCCGACCUCUAAGAGAUUUUCUUUAAGGCGCUCAAAAAGAUCAGUGAAUAUGAAAAUAAAGUCCCUGGUGACUUUUGCGAGAGGAUCUUUGGUGCCGGAGCAGAGUGAGAAGCCGGACGGCGGGAGAUGAGCGGGCACGGGGACAAUGGAGAAAACCAAGGCAUUGGCAACACCCUAUGAGCUUGUCACCUGGGGUGACACAUGCAGAGAAGUGAGACAAUGACAAGAGAAGGAAACUCAGAGACACUGUGCAUCUCUUAAUGCAAGAAUUUCUUCCAUGGGUGUUGAGGAAAAACACUUAAAAUAAGGCAGAAGGUCAACUGCACAUCUUUCAAAGACCUAUUAAAGCAACAGCUCUCAGAAGUGUGUUAUCUGAAUCACCAGGUUCCGCAGCAUCACCUGAGACCUUGUUAGAGCUGCCAGGAUCUCCCCAUCUCCGAGC
Molecule: long non-coding RNA, 660 nt
Organism: Mustela erminea (ermine)
Lineage: Eukaryota; Metazoa; Chordata; Mammalia; Carnivora; Mustelidae
Exons: 3
Source: RefSeq, a predicted model, not a curated record